GGGGAGAUUGCCUAGUGGUUAACGGCAACAGACUGUAAAUCUGUCGGGUCAUCCCUUCGCAGGUUCGAAUCCUGCUCUCCCCA
Molecule: transfer RNA, 83 nt
Filed under: Candidatus Cloacimonadota bacterium
Lineage: Bacteria; Pseudomonadati; Candidatus Cloacimonadota
Description: Candidatus Cloacimonetes bacterium (wastewater metagenome) tRNA-Tyr
Rfam family: tRNA
About the family: Transfer RNA (tRNA) molecules are approximately 80 nucleotides in length. Their secondary structure includes four short double-helical elements and three loops (D, anti-codon, and T loops).
Source: RNAcentral